GUACUUAGCUCAGUUGGUUAGAGCAGACGGCUCAUAACCGUCCGGUCGUAGGUUCGAGUCCUACAGGGUACA
This 72-nucleotide transfer RNA is filed under the name Enterococcus faecium. RNAcentral's name for it is "tRNA-Ile". It matches the Rfam family "tRNA". Rfam says of the family: Transfer RNA (tRNA) molecules are approximately 80 nucleotides in length. RNAcentral also lists the same sequence under 3 other names. Lineage: Bacteria; Bacillati; Bacillota; Bacilli; Lactobacillales; Enterococcaceae. The record is from RNAcentral.